RNAcentral lists this long non-coding RNA (211 nucleotides) under Manihot esculenta (cassava). Its description in RNAcentral is "long non-coding RNA (MESC_LNC001192)". Lineage: Eukaryota; Viridiplantae; Streptophyta; Magnoliopsida; Malpighiales; Euphorbiaceae. The record is from RNAcentral.
CCAGGAAGAUGCUCAGACCCAGGAUUCUAGAAUCUCGGGUUCAGGAGGGAUUGAUCCCUCCACUCUGAGUACAGCUGCCACGAGAGGUAAGAAAUGGAAGAGAGGUCUCAGGAAGUCGCAGAAGAAGUUUUGGCAGAAUCUGAAGGCUAGUUUGGGUUUUGGUGGUUCGAGCUCUGGCUCAGGCAGUUCAAAGUGCUUGAGAUGCGGAAGG